GUCCGGUGCCCCUAUUAUGACGAGCUACAUGCCAUUCUUCGUGGGGAUGCCUCAGUAGCACCGAAAAGACUGGCAACCAAUUUGUCCAUCGUGCGGGAGGUUCCACGUACCAACGCUACUGUCGCUUCCUACUCGGCGUCUCCUUCCAGCCCCGAACUGUUCAAUAGCUCAUUCGCAACCAUAGAUCUGGAUACCUACCUGACCAAAGACUCUGGUGCUGCGGCUACUGAAGCAGGGCUUUCACGUGUACACGAGGACGAGGAUACUUGUGUGUCGGAACUCCAGGGAAUCCUUGAUGAAGACGAUACCGCCAGCGGCCAGUCAGAGAGCAGACGAGAACACAUUCCCCGGACCUCAUCCUCCAUUCCGGAAGCCAGAGAGGACA
Molecule: long non-coding RNA, 385 nt
Filed under: Salvator merianae (Argentine black and white tegu)
Lineage: Eukaryota; Metazoa; Chordata; Lepidosauria; Squamata; Teiidae
Description: lncRNA (ENSSMRG00000023690.1)
Source: RNAcentral